This is a small nucleolar RNA of Rattus norvegicus (Norway rat), 113 nucleotides long. Ensembl annotates it as small nucleolar RNA SNORA17. Lineage: Eukaryota; Metazoa; Chordata; Mammalia; Rodentia; Muridae. The record is from Ensembl.
CCUGCCCCUAAAGGGCACAUGUAUGUAAGUAGGUGGCAGAAAGGAGAGAGGUUAUGCCUAUACUCAGUGUUCUGACCGAUUAGAAUGAUUAGAAUGAUUAGAAGCCUAAGUCG